AUUAGAGUUUGAUCCUGGCUCAGAGCGAACGCUGGCGGCAGGCCUAACACAUGCAAGUCGAACGGACCCUUCGGGGUUAGUGGCGGACGGGUGAGUAACACGUGGGAACGUGCCUUUAGGUUCGGAAUAGCUCCUGGAAACGGGUGGUAAUGCCGAAUGUGCCCUUAGGGGGAAAGAUUUAUCGCCUUUAGAGCGGCCCGCGUCUGAUUAGCUAGUUGGUGAGGUAAUGGCUCACCAAGGCUACGAUCAGUAGCUGGUCUGAGAGGAUGACCAGCCACAUUGGGACUGAGACACGGCCCAAACUCCUACGGGAGGCAGCAGUGGGGAAUCUUGCGCAAUGGGCGAAAGCCUGACGCAGCCAUGCCGCGUGGAUGAUGAAGGUCUUAGGAUUGUAAAAUCCUUUCACCGGUGAAGAUAAUGACUGUAGCCGGAGAAGAAGCCCCGGCUAACUUCGUGCCAGCAGCCGCGGUAAUACGAAGGGGGCUAGCGUUGCUCGGAAUUACUGGGCGUAAAGGGAGCGUAGGCGGACAUUUAAGUCAGGGGUGAAAUCCCAGAGCUCAACUCUGGAACUGCCUUUGAUACUGGGUGUCUUGAGUGUGAUAGAGGUAUGUGGAACUCCGAGUGUAGAGGUGAAAUUCGUAGAUAUUCGGAAGAA
This 655-nucleotide ribosomal RNA is filed under the name uncultured bacterium. RNAcentral describes it as "bacterial SSU rRNA". It matches the Rfam family "Bacterial small subunit ribosomal RNA", at positions 1 to 706 of the family's 1533-position model. The record is from RNAcentral.